GCCUGGUCCCCAAAUGCUGGGAAUUAACAGCAAUGAAGCCACACGCGCCGUCCAAACUACCUUGUUCUACUCUUUCCCCUUCUCACUACUGCAGGUUGACUAGUCUUUA
Molecule: non-coding RNA, 109 nt
Filed under: Macaca nemestrina (pig-tailed macaque)
Lineage: Eukaryota; Metazoa; Chordata; Mammalia; Primates; Cercopithecidae
Source: RNAcentral